Molecule: ribosomal RNA, 510 nt
Filed under: uncultured Gammaproteobacteria bacterium
Lineage: Bacteria; Pseudomonadati; Pseudomonadota; Gammaproteobacteria
Description: bacterial SSU rRNA
Rfam family: Bacterial small subunit ribosomal RNA
Source: RNAcentral
AGAGUUUGAUCCUGGCUCAGAUUGAACGCUGGCGGCAUGCCUAACACAUGCAAGUCGAACGGCAGCAGCAGAGAGCUUGCUCUCUGGCUGGCGAGUGGCGGACGGGUGAGUAAUGCAUAGGAAUCUGCCCAGUAGUGGGGGACAACCUGGGGAAACUCAGGCUAAUACCGCAUACGACCUGCGGGUGAAAGUGGAGGAUCUUCGGACUUCACGCUAUUGGAUGAGCCUAUGUCAGAUUAGCUUGUUGGUGAGGUAAAGGCUCACCAAGGCAACGAUCUGUAGCUGGUCUGAGAGGACGAUCAGCCACACUGGGACUGAGACACGGCCCAGACUCCUACGGGAGGCAGCAGUGGGGAAUAUUGGACAAUGGGGGCAACCCUGAUCCAGCAAUGCCGCGUGUGUGAAGAAGGCCUGCGGGUUGUAAAGCACUUUCAACAGUGAAGAAAAGCUGACGGUUAAUACCCGUCAGUCUUGACAUUAACUGUAGAAGAAGCACCGGCUAACUCCGUG